CUACGGGGGGCAGCAGUGAGGAAUAUUGCACAAUGGGGGGGAACCCUGAUGCAGCAACGCCGCGUGGAGGAUGACGCAUUUCGGUGUGUAAACUCCUUUUAUAUGUCAAGAAAAUGACGGUAGCAUAUGAAUAAGCACCGGCUAACUCCGUGCCAGCAGCCGCGGUAAUACGGAGGGUGCAAGCGUUACUCGGAAUCACUGGGCGUAAAGGACGCGUAGGCGGGUUGGAAAGUCAGAUGUGAAAUCCUACAGCUUAACUGUAGAACUGCACUUGAAACUUCUAAUCUAGAGUAUGGGAGGGGGAGAUGGAAUUAGUGGUGUAGGGGUAAAAUCCGUAGAUAUCACUAGGAAUACCUAAAGCGAAGGCGAUCUCCUGGAACAUUACUGACGCUAAGGCGUGAAAGCGUGGGGAGCAAACAGGAUUAGAUACCCCAGUAGUC
Molecule: ribosomal RNA, 440 nt
Filed under: uncultured bacterium
Lineage: Bacteria
Description: partial 16S ribosomal RNA
Rfam family: Bacterial small subunit ribosomal RNA
Source: RNAcentral